GCUAGUUUUGUUGCAGAAUUGCAAAUGUUUGGUACUGGUUGAAACUAUGAAAGUAAUACAGGUAAAUUUAAAGAAUUUAGACUUUAACUUUAUUAAUAGAAAAGAUAUUCCCAAAUGUCAAGGUGAAAGUGGACAUUGUAGAUUCUAAACACCCAUGUGAAAGCAACAGUCUUCUAUGGUGAGAGGAUGCCAUACUUAGCAUUAAUGCUCUUGUUAUUAUAUGGAAUAUGGCUUUUUUUAUCAUUAUUUUCACUAUUUUGAUAUUGAACAACCAACAUUGAUAACAAGUAAUAUAAAACUCUCACUUUUUAUGAAUCCUAUAUUAUCUGAUUAUAUUAAUUUACUUAUUUAAUUUUUGUUAUAUUUGUUAUCAAUUGUAGGUCUCAUGGUUCUCAUUUAACAGCAGGUUAUUAGCAGCAGUUUUGUAGAAAAAUGAAGGAUGACUGUCAAUGGUAAAUACAUACAUUUUAGGAUAAUUACAUGUAGUUACCUUUGAAAAAAAACUUAGGUUUCAUUUGAGACUUUUUAAUCUGAUAAUGGUGUUUUGCAGGCAUUUAUAACAUUUCUUUUUGGACAAUAUAUUUAGUAGACUCAACUAUAAAAUGUAGGAUCAUGUAAACUUGUACACAGAUGUCACUGACCUACAUUUUCCACUUCACUGACUUUGGUUACAUUAAACAUCCAAUUUCAUAUACAACAAAUGUAUAUCUCAGCAACUAAAAGGUGUCAGAUCAUGCAAACUUAUAUAUACACUCUCAGAGUCUCAGUAAGUAACUCAGCUUCCAGGCAAAAGAAGGUCACAGUGAUCCACAUUUUACACUAUUGAUUUGUACUUUAUUUUAUAAUUUAAAUACAAAGUAUAUUAUCAAGACUGCCACUGGUUCUUAUGUGCCACAAUUCUGACAAUGAAGAUAACUAUGUGAUGUAGAUAACUUAUGUUUAUUUCAAACUUGGUCACAUGCUGUAUAUGUAAAUUUUUACCAAAAAGAACAGUUCAACUGUAUUGAUUUAAGGUAUAUGGUAAAGGUCACACCUAUUAAAUAUACAUGUAUACCUUGAAUUUAUUUGACUUGGACCCUAUAAUGCUCCCUAUAUCAUUUAUGUUGUCAAUUAUUGCAAUCCAAAUUGCCAUGAUUGUACACAAAACAAAAACCACUAAAAAGGAUGGCCAUCAUAUGCAAAAGCAAUAUAAAAAAAUGCAUACCCAUCAGCUGACCUAAUUAUUGCAAUCACUUCAAAAACCUGGCCAUAUAUCAUAUUAUAAAACUCUUAAUGAGUACCUUUGUUAGUCAGGUAUAAUAUAAUCUUUUUAAAUUGAUGUUGUAAUGCAUGAUUGGAUUAAUUUUGCACUCACUGAAAAUAUUAUAUAGAUUUAGUAGUUUAUUAGUAUAUAUUACACCUUUUCAUUACAUAAAUUAAACUUUCAGGUAAAUGCAGCAACAGAAUGUUCCCCUGGAAAAUUUACGCAGAAAGUUUGGGAAAGUAUGAAUAAGAAAUUAGAGAGGCAAACAGAUAACCAGAAAACAAAGAUUUUAAAAGAAAAGAAUUACCACUAAUAGUAAUAUGAUAUAUCUGA
Molecule: long non-coding RNA, 1576 nt
Filed under: Mytilus galloprovincialis (Mediterranean mussel)
Lineage: Eukaryota; Metazoa; Mollusca; Bivalvia; Mytilida; Mytilidae
Source: RNAcentral